This 488-nucleotide long non-coding RNA is filed under the name Androctonus crassicauda. Lineage: Eukaryota; Metazoa; Arthropoda; Arachnida; Scorpiones; Buthidae. The record is from RNAcentral.
ACAUUAAGCAUUUUUUUUAUAUCAUAAUUCUGCACAGAGAGAGUGGUAAGUUCUUCAAAUUUUGUGUCAAUAAAUAUAUGCUCUAUGUACCUACUUGCAUCAUAACGAAAAGUUUGUAGAUUUUUAACUGAUUUUCUGAUAUAUGAAUUAGAACAGACAAGGCUUUGUGAUACAGGCAAGGAUUUGUGAUAUAGGCAGCCACCUUGGUGUAAUCAUAUGAGAGGAGAGAGGAGUGGCAUCUUUCCCGGAAAAUUGAGAGAGACGCCACACCAUGAACAGAUGCCAAGUAGAAUGAUGCAAACCCUUACUAUUCAACCUACUGCUGCGAAAGAUGUCCAAACAAUUCCCAGUACUUCCAAAAUUUUUCAUGUUACUACUGCCCAGAAUUUCAAAGAUGCAGUUGAUUCACUUUCAAAAUUUCUGCAUAUCAUAUCCCUAUGCCUGAAGUUGUCAAUAAACAACGAGGGAAACAGUCUGCUGAAAUUUUG